GGCGGAGUAGCGCAGUUGGUAGCGCCCUGGCUUCCCAUGCCAAAGGUCGCGGGAUCGAUCCCCGCGUCCUCCA
Molecule: non-coding RNA, 73 nt
Organism: Lethenteron reissneri (Far Eastern brook lamprey)
Lineage: Eukaryota; Metazoa; Chordata; Hyperoartia; Petromyzontiformes; Petromyzontidae
Source: the annotation of a RefSeq genome assembly